RNAcentral lists this ribosomal RNA (691 nucleotides) under Nuclearia thermophila. RNAcentral describes it as "SSU rRNA". It matches the Rfam family "Eukaryotic small subunit ribosomal RNA", at positions 1 to 688 of the family's 1831-position model. Lineage: Eukaryota; Rotosphaerida; Nucleariidae. The record is from RNAcentral.
ACCUGGUUGAUCCUGCCAGUAGUCAUAUGCUUGUCUCAAAGAUUAAGCCAUGCAUGUCUAAGUAUAAACGCCUUAUACUGUGAAACUGCGAAUGGCUCAUUAAAUCAGUUAUAGUUUAUUUGAUAGUACCUUUACUACAUGGAUAACCGUGGUAAUUCUAGAGCUAAUACAUGCGAAAAAUCCCGACUUCUGGAAGGGAUGUAUUUAUUAGAUAAAAAACCAACCGGGGCAACCCGUCUUUUGCUUGGUGAUUCAUAAUAACUUCUCGAAUCGUAUGGCUUCUACGCUGACGAUGGUUCAUUCAAAUUUCUGCCCUAUCAACUUUCGAUGGUAAUGUAGUGGAUUACCAUGGUUGUAACGGGUAACGGAGAAUUAGGGUUCGGUUCCGGAGAGGGAGCAUGAGAAACGGCUACCACAUCUAAGGAAGGCAGCAGGCGCGCAAAUUACCCAAUCCCGACACGGGGAGGUAGUGACAAGAAAUAACAAUACAGGGUCCUAAACGGUCUUGUAAUUGGAAUGAGUACAAUUUAAACCCCUUAACGAGGAACAAUUGGAGGGCAAGUCUGGUGCCAGCAGCCGCGGUAAUUCCAGCUCCAAUAGCGUAUAUUAAUGUUGUUGCAGUUAAAAAGCUCGUAGUUGGAUUUUGGGCUUGUUCAGCCGGUCGCACCGCAAGGUGUGUCGUGGGGGUGGG